GGGCCUCUAGCUCAGUUGGUUAGAGCGCGUCCCUGAUAAGGACGAGGUCUCUGGUUCGAAUCCAGAGAGGCCCACCA
This 77-nucleotide transfer RNA is filed under the name Caldisericota bacterium. RNAcentral's name for it is "tRNA-Ile". It matches the Rfam family "tRNA". From Rfam's summary of the family: Transfer RNA (tRNA) molecules are approximately 80 nucleotides in length. Their secondary structure includes four short double-helical elements and three loops (D, anti-codon, and T loops). Further hydrogen bonds mediate the characteristic L-shaped molecular structure. tRNAs have two regions of fundamental functional importance: the anti-codon, which is responsible for specific mRNA codon recognition, and the 3' end, to which the tRNAs corresponding amino acid is attached (by aminoacyl-tRNA synthetases). tRNAs cope with the degeneracy of the genetic code in two manners: having more than one tRNA (with a specific anti-codon) for a particular amino acid; and 'wobble' base-pairing, i.e. permitting non-standard base-pairing at the 3rd anti-codon position. Lineage: Bacteria; Pseudomonadati; Caldisericota. RNAcentral also lists the same sequence under 2 other names. The record is from RNAcentral.